This 410-nucleotide long non-coding RNA is filed under the name Equus caballus (horse). RNAcentral's name for it is "lncRNA (ENSECAG00000056547.1)". Lineage: Eukaryota; Metazoa; Chordata; Mammalia; Perissodactyla; Equidae. The record is from RNAcentral.
AGAAUAUUCUCUCAUUUCAGUUCUCUCAUAAAUAAUAGAUAUGGAGUCAAAGGAAAAGAGCUUAGAAUAUUAGAAUUUUAAAUAUGGAAUUGUUCUUAGGAAUCAACCAUAGCAACUGCCUUUUCACAGGAAAGGUAUGGUGCCAGAGUUGUGACCAGAUGACCAACACUGAAUUUCCAGUUGUAUUACAUAAUUCAUAACAAGAUCUGUGGGAAUGGUUUUCUGAGAAUGAAGAGGUUGUCUAGAAGACCGGAAAUGUCUAAGAGCAAUGAGUAGAAAGUGGUGCAUACUCUCAGCAGCAAGAUUUGCAUGUCACUCUGCUUGUAAGGAUUCCAAUGUGUAGUAUUUUCUAUUUAACUGUGUAUUUAAAAAAUAAAUAAAAUCAAGAAAUUUUUGAAAACAUUAUAUAA